Molecule: long non-coding RNA, 861 nt
Filed under: Hermetia illucens (black soldier fly)
Lineage: Eukaryota; Metazoa; Arthropoda; Insecta; Diptera; Stratiomyidae
Description: uncharacterized LOC119658651, transcript variant X2
Source: RNAcentral
UGAAAAAUGGAGCAGGAUUUUGUUCGUUAUUUCAGAGCGAAGAUAAAGGAUUAAUUAAACAAAUCCAUUUUUAUUCCAGUAUCACUGGUUUUCAUCUCAAUUUUAUUGUAUACGUUCUCCACUUAUUAUUAUUCAGUUUUGUGACUUAAAACUAAAACCGGUUUUUCGAUAAAAAUUUUCCAUAUGGACUUCUCUCAAUUCAACGAUUGCAACAACGUCCAACAUUUCGUUGGUUUUUUAAUAAUGAUUCUCGUACAUCUUAUAUUAAAAAACAGUUCCACUGAAAAUAUUAAAACAUAGCAAUAUAUAUCGUCAAAAUGAAUGUUUGUCAAAACAAAUGGCUUUGACAUUGCAAAGUUUUCUAUUUUCUUAAAGUUCAAGUAUUUCGUGGUUAUGAAGUUCAGGAAGUGUCGCUCCAGUUCGGGAGAACAUCGAGUCAAUGUCCGAGCCCAGAUCACGAGAAAAGCUAUGUCGCCAAGCUGCUCCAGCACCCGAGUUGCUAUUUAACCUGUGAGGAGGAGAAAUCGAUAAUGUAAUGCAGGAAAACAAUCGUAUCUCAUUCGUCAACGUGAAAAGGAGAUUAUGCUUAAAAGGCUUCAAGAUCCAGAUCAACGAUAUACCUUGUGCUAGUUGAAGACAUCAGUACAGCUUCCAGUCCUUUUGAGACUGUGAUUCUUGCUCAUCUCGCACCUCUACUACAGUUUACGAUGGACGAUUCUUCAUUUCGAAGUUAUUUGCAGUUUCUGCGUCGGAACCUUCUUUAUUUUGUUAAGCAUCCUUCGCGGAGUCGAAGCUCUCCAUUGUAUCUUAAUAUGUUCAUAAUUGUAAUUCUAUCUUUUAUCAAUAAAUAAUACAAAUGCA